Triticum dicoccoides is the source of this 4386-nucleotide long non-coding RNA. RefSeq lists it as uncharacterized. The record is from RefSeq and is a predicted model, not a curated record. The transcript has 7 exons. Lineage: Eukaryota; Viridiplantae; Streptophyta; Magnoliopsida; Poales; Poaceae.
UAAUGGUUUCACGAGUUGUUUAGGAGUGAAAAGAGUGUCAGACGAUGUUCAACACGUAGAGCGUUAGUAGAAGCUCGACAACUGCAUGAAUAACUAUUGGACGGAAUGAAACGGGGACCAACGGGCCACUUGCUCUAGAGUCAGAGAUUUGGCCUCUUGAAAAGCCAAUUGAAUUACCACACCUGGCGUGGGUAUGGUGGCUGGACUCAGACCCGGGCAGAUCCUCAGCCUCUCAUCCGGGGUCGCCUUCGUCAGGAUGCACACCACAAGGUGACUGAACCGCCUCUCUGCUAUCUUCUCCAUUGCUCGGAGAGAACACUGGGCCAUUGGAACACUUCUGACUCAAGCUAACUGUCGUGGGAGUGAGUCUGAUAGUAAGAAUAGGGGGUACGUAGGAGGAGGCAAGGUCCUAGCCACGGUGAGGUUGUACACACAAGUUUACGUGUUCAGGCCCCUCUUGGAGGAGCUAACAGCCCUACGUAUCGGUGCCUCGAGGCUUGUCGACUGGAUUAUGCGUGGAAGUUAUGGGGGUGCAAACCCUUGUGCCUGAGGAGGGGGCAGCUUAUAUAGAGUGCGCCAGGCUCCUCACAGCCUUCCAUUACACAUGGUUCAAUGUGAGUUAAGGCAGGGGCAUUACUGGUAACGCCAGCUAUUAAUGAUCUUUAUGACUACGGAGUGAACGCCUGACCAUCGCCAUCCUGGGGUGGCUUUUGAUCUUCUGUACUCCGAGUGAUUCUUCGUAUGGUCGAGUGACGCUACUGUGGUCGAGUGGAAUUGAGGUGUCCGAGUAGAAUCUUCUGUUGAGUGGAUAGCACUUCAAGGUGAUUUCAGUCGGUGCCUUCUGUUGUACUUUGAAUGUCUUUGACUCUAGGGCAGUGUCCUUGGGUAGGGUGUCUAGGUCAUGCCUAAGACCCUACCCUAGGUAUGUGUCAUCGUCAUUAUCCCCCGAAUGGACUGAGGUCCGAGUGAAGAAGGGUUGAAGUUGGUUCCGACUCGAUUCCAUGCUUCGGAGGCAUUUCAUAGAGAUCUGGAAAGCACACUGGUACUUUAACCCUGCCUCGGUCGCCUUGAUCGAUUCUGGUUUCUGAGAUCGCCGAGUGAAUUAUGCAGUAAAUCUUCUAGUGAAUCAGAGUGUGAAAUCUUCGACGCAAUUGAAUGCUCUGCGGUCUCCGGAUCUCAUAGGAUUCUAAAUUUUGGAGAAGCACACAGGACGGGGCGCGACGUAGUAAAUGGAACGAGCAGAUAGGGACUCCUCGAUCUUCGUGCCACCUUUUUGGCCACAUAUCAAGCCAGCGCCUGUGACGGGAUGCGAUAAGAUUGCUCGGGCCCACGGGUUAGCCACUCGGAAGUAGCCCCAUAAAAAGCGUCGAGGCUGAUGCGCGACACUGUGCAUUCCAUUCGACCCCCCUCUCCGCUUCUCCACCUCGCUUCUCCCUGCUCUCCACGCCUCCGCUCGACCCUCUCGAGCUCCGCCACCAUGGUGAAGGACAAGACCACGGCCCUGGAGCAUGCGAAGAAGGCGAUGACGAUGACGAAAGGCAAGAAGACGGUGAGGGGGUCAAUGUCGCGGUCUGGUCUGCCGCCUGGUUGGAUCUAGGGGGACUGGAUCCAUUCUACCAUUGUGAAGGAAGAUCUGUAGAACCUAGCCGCUGAUGGCCUGAUUGCCCAUUAGUCCUAGAGGUUGUCAGAGGGAGAAUCUGAGCCCCAUCCGCGAGAGGGUGAGUGCGUCCUUCUCACCACCCAUGUCGAGCAAGGUUUCUCUCUGCCCCCGCACCCAUUCUUUCAGGGCUUUUUGAAUUUCUUCGGCGCUUAGAUCCACCACUUUCCUCCCAACCCGAUCUCGUAUCUUGCCGCGUUCAUCUCAAUGUGCGAAAACUUCCUAGGGUGCCAGCCACACUAGGGUUUGUUCAAACACACAUUCACCUGUCGUUCUUAGCGGUGAAGAAAGCUAACCCGGAUGAUGAAAAGACGCAUGUGAUCUAGAUGUGUGGGGGUUAGGGAUCCAAAUGAGAGGUAGGAGUUCUUUUCCCCCCAUGACCUUUCCCGAGUCUGUCAGGGGAUGGCAGUCGACUUGGUUCUACUGCAAGGACAUUCCGACUCCUAGUUAGUCGACUGGCCUUCCCCCUUUCACUAUGGAGAGACUCCACACCCCUCAUUCACUAGUUGUAGUGCCGGAGGAGAAGGGGGAGUUGGGAAUGUUAGUCGACGCCGUCGUUGGAUUGGUUCAAGGUGGAGUGACGGGUAUGGAUCUGUUGGAGGUAUUCCUCAAUUGACGCAUCCAGCCCUUGCAGGCCCGUGACCACCCUUUGUGGAUGUACUCGGGUCUAGAGGACACCUCUCGAACCCACCCGGAGGAGGUUGACGAGGAGAUGGUGGCUCAGUGGCUCAGGAGCAUUACCGGCAACAAGAAUAACCCCAGGGGUCCAGGAGGAUUCUGCCAUUCGAUGUCAACAAUGCUCCUGAAGAGAUUUUCACCAAGAUGUACUCGAUGCCGAAUGGAGAGCAGUACCAAGAAGGAGUUGAGAGUGAUGGCGAGAGCGGUGAUUAUCAGUAUGUAGAUCACAGUGAAGAUGACAGUGAAGAUGACAGUAAGGACUCGGGCAGCAGCGAAGAAGUCGAUUCACCGCCCCACUCGGAGCGUUGCUCCAAAUAGUCGCAAGACCCUGCAGGGGGACGUAGCAAAGCUGCUGCGUCGAGUGCAAAGAUUCCAAAACGCACUCGGACGUCGACUCCCGAGCCAUCAGAGAAGGCCGCGAAGCAGGCUAAAGUUGCGCUGCCCAAACCUCAGAUGGCCCUGCCUAGGAUCAAGGUGGCUGUGCCCGUGGCUUUAGUUGCUGCUACUUCUGUGACAUCCAUGGACAUCGAUGAGGAGCGUGGUGAUGCGGAAACCGCGGAUGCGGCCACCUCUCGGGCAGCACCAACAGAUAUUAUCCAGCUUCCUAACGAUGAUGAUGAUGAUGUGUCUUUGAAAAAUGCCGGGAGGAGAGGCAAAACUUUGAGCAAGAGGGUGCCUGGAGCCAGAACGCCUCGCUCGGCAUCUGAUCCUGUGGUCCAACAACUCAACGAUCUAGUACGGGCUUUAGUCUCUUUUGCCAAUCCUGUGUCGACUGACCAACCCUCAGUGUCGACUGCUCAAGCUCCAGAUUCGAUUGCGCAACUUUAGGCUUCUACUACACCGGCCACGUCACCUAUUCCAUCAUCUCUUCUAUUUUCUCCACAUCACGUCCCGGAGGACCAAGUAGGGGCUGCCAAGCAGGCCAUGAUUCAGGCAAGUCUGAUGAUGGACCGACUGAAGGUGGUGUGUGACACCAGCAAGGCCGCCUAUGAUGCCAACUCUGCUCUCCAAGCCAAUGUCCGAAAAUCUUAUGAGCUUGGGACUCAAUAUGCUGCUUUGUCACAGGAGAAAAUCCAACUUAAGCUCGACCUAGAUCUGGCCAAGGAGAACUUGAAGAAAGCACAAGAUGGAGUGGCAAGAGACAAAAUGAAGCAGGCUAUGGAGCAGAAGGACCUUGAUCUUGUGGCGGCGCAGAAGACGACGCGUGAUUAGAUUGAACUUGCCGACCAGAAGCUGGCUUCGGUCGGAAACUUGGAAGAGGAGAACGCCAAGCUGAAAACCGCUGUUAACAAGGCGAAGAAAGAGGCCAUGCAACUGAAGGAGGAGAAGGUGGCUUUGACAGACAAAGUGGAUAUUCUCACUGAGAAGAUGGACGAGCUCGAAACUUAUCUGGGUGGUCUCGCCAAGAAGAUGUUCCUCAUGCUUGAUGAGUUUUGUCAGAAUUUCGAGGAGGAAAUUGGGUGGAUCAAGACAGGACUGGAUCCCAUCAAUUGCCCCAUCAAGGAUGAAGCUGCCAUGAACAUGUCGCGACUGGAAUCUCGUCUUGCCAGUGUCUUGGACUACGUCGUCCGACUGAGAGUUGCAAUGUCUCGGAUCGAUGAGGAGCUCUGACCAGAGGAUGUGCUUCUGAAUGACCUCGAGUCACUGAUGACUCGACUCAACAACAUCCUUGACCGAGUGCAACCGUGGAAGAAGUCAGGUGCACGCUGCGGUGGUGAUGUGGCUCUAUCACUCAUCCGUGUUCAUUGCAAGGAUUCUAAGGAAGAGAAGCUGAAGGCUCUUCAGGUGGCUAACACCAAGAAGCUUCAAUUUCAAUCUUUCAUGGAGACCUUCAUUGACGCGACCACUCGCACCAUGGACAGUAUCGACGUGGCACUUUCGUCAAGCCAACAAUUCCUCCUCCUACCGAGUGAAAAACUUGAUAACUUGACUUUAUUCGCCUCGGAAUGCCAAGUGAUUUUGUAAUCGUUAAACUCUUUCGGGCUUGAUGCCCGGGGACUUCUGCUGGAUUUAUCCAAACUUUGUUGUUUUAUUUGAAUGCAGUUGCUUUA